CAGCCGCCGCGGUAAUACGAAGGGGGCUAGCGUUGCUCGGAAUUACUGGGCGUAAAGGGAGCGUAGGCGGACAUUUAAGUCAGGGGUGAGAUCCCAGAGCUCAACUCUGGAACUGCCUUUGAUACUGGGUGUCUUGAGUGUGAUAGAGGUAUGUGGAACUCCGAGUGUAGAGGUGAAAUUCGUAGAUAUUCGGAAGAACACCAGUGGCGAAGGCGACAUACUGGAUCAUUACUGACGCUGAGGCUCGAAAGCGUGGGGAGCAAACAGGAUUAGAUACCCGCGUAGUCCCUGUCUCUUAUAC
Molecule: ribosomal RNA, 301 nt
Filed under: uncultured bacterium
Lineage: Bacteria
Description: partial 16S ribosomal RNA
Rfam family: Bacterial small subunit ribosomal RNA
Source: RNAcentral